This 89-nucleotide non-coding RNA is filed under the name Pseudomonas tolaasii NCPPB 2192. The record is from RNAcentral. Lineage: Bacteria; Pseudomonadati; Pseudomonadota; Gammaproteobacteria; Pseudomonadales; Pseudomonadaceae.
UGUGGGAGCUGGCUUGCCUGCGAUAGCGGUCUUUCAGUUGCAAAUGUAGUACCUGAUGCACCGCUAUCGCAGGCAAGCCAGCUCCCACA